GCGUCCUGCCUCGUGAUCGUCUUCUCACCCUUCACGGCGGCAGGCGGAGUGAAGGAGCGGCCCCGCGAGGACAUGACUCGUGGGGCCGCUCC
This 92-nucleotide non-coding RNA is filed under the name Actinobacteria bacterium OV320. RNAcentral's name for it is "sodF sRNA". It matches the Rfam family "sodF sRNA". From Rfam's summary of the family: Identified in Streptomyces coelicolor. It is produced from sodF mRNA by cleavage of about 90 nucleotides from its 3'UTR. Lineage: Bacteria; Bacillati; Actinomycetota; Actinomycetes. The record is from Rfam by way of RNAcentral.